This 158-nucleotide ribosomal RNA is filed under the name Gymnostellatospora japonica. RNAcentral describes it as "5.8S ribosomal RNA". It matches the Rfam family "5.8S ribosomal RNA". Rfam says of the family: 5.8S ribosomal RNA (5.8S rRNA) is a component of the large subunit of the eukaryotic ribosome. It is transcribed by RNA polymerase I as part of the 45S precursor that also contains 18S and 28S rRNA. Lineage: Eukaryota; Fungi; Ascomycota; Leotiomycetes; Thelebolales; Pseudeurotiaceae. RNAcentral also lists the same sequence under 1 other name. The record is from RNAcentral.
UAGUUAAAACUUUCAACAACGGAUCUCUUGGUUCUGGCAUCGAUGAAGAACGCAGCGAAAUGCGAUAAGUAAUGUGAAUUGCAGAAUUCAGUGAAUCAUCGAAUCUUUGAACGCACAUUGCGCUCCCUGGUAUUCCGGGGAGCAUGCCUGUUCGAGCG